Molecule: unclassified non-coding RNA, 248 nt
Filed under: Melitaea cinxia (Glanville fritillary)
Lineage: Eukaryota; Metazoa; Arthropoda; Insecta; Lepidoptera; Nymphalidae
Description: misc RNA ENSMCXG00005019401.1
Source: RNAcentral
AGCAAUAAUUGUGUUUGCUCGCAAACGAAAAAAAAAAACCGACUUCAAUUACAUCGACGAGUAAUACAACGUAGGUCGACGAAAAAAGCGUCAAGUAAAAACGCAUUAUUAAAUAUAACUCGAAAAGUAGUUGUUAGAUCUCAAAUAAAUUUAAAUGGGACCAAUUGACACACACCACCUUUCGAUUAAAACAAAAUUUGUCGAGAUCGGUCUACCCGGUCAAAAGUUCUGAUGUAACAUACAUAAAA